This 1530-nucleotide ribosomal RNA is filed under the name Mycobacterium paragordonae. Its description in RNAcentral is "bacterial SSU rRNA". It matches the Rfam family "Bacterial small subunit ribosomal RNA". Lineage: Bacteria; Bacillati; Actinomycetota; Actinomycetes; Mycobacteriales; Mycobacteriaceae. The record is from RNAcentral.
UGUUUGGAGAGUUUGAUUCUGGCUCAGGACGAACGCUGGCGGCGUGCUUAACACAUGCAAGUCGAACGGUAAGGCCCUUCGGGGUACACGAGUGGCGAACGGGUGAGUAACACGUGGGUAAUCUGCCCUGCACAUCGGGAUAAGCCUGGGAAACUGGGUCUAAUACCGAAUAGGACCACAGAACACAUGUCCUGUGGUGGAAAGCUUUUGCGGUGUGGGAUGGGCCCGCGGCCUAUCAGCUUGUUGGUGGGGUGAUGGCCCACCAAGGCGACGACGGGUAGCCGGCCUGAGAGGGUGUCCGGCCACACUGGGACUGAGAUACGGCCCAGACUCCUACGGGAGGCAGCAGUGGGGAAUAUUGCACAAUGGGCGAAAGCCUGAUGCAGCGACGCCGCGUGGGGGAUGACGGCCUUCGGGUUGUAAACCUCUUUCACCAUCGACGAAGGUUCGGGUUUUCUCGGAUUGACGGUAGGUGGAGAAGAAGCACCGGCCAACUACGUGCCAGCAGCCGCGGUAAUACGUAGGGUGCGAGCGUUGUCCGGAAUUACUGGGCGUAAAGAGCUCGUAGGUGGUUUGUCGCGUUGUUCGUGAAAUCUCACGGCUUAACUGUGAGCGUGCGGGCGAUACGGGCAGACUUGAGUACUGCAGGGGAGACUGGAAUUCCUGGUGUAGCGGUGGAAUGCGCAGAUAUCAGGAGGAACACCGGUGGCGAAGGCGGGUCUCUGGGCAGUAACUGACGCUGAGGAGCGAAAGCGUGGGGAGCGAACAGGAUUAGAUACCCUGGUAGUCCACGCCGUAAACGGUGGGUACUAGGUGUGGGUUUCCUUCCUUGGGAUCCGUGCCGUAGCUAACGCAUUAAGUACCCCGCCUGGGGAGUACGGCCGCAAGGCUAAAACUCAAAGAAAUUGACGGGGGCCCGCACAAGCGGCGGAGCAUGUGGAUUAAUUCGAUGCAACGCGAAGAACCUUACCUGGGUUUGACAUGCACAGGACGCCGGCAGAGAUGUCGGUUCCCUUGUGGCCUGUGUGCAGGUGGUGCAUGGCUGUCGUCAGCUCGUGUCGUGAGAUGUUGGGUUAAGUCCCGCAACGAGCGCAACCCUUGUCUCAUGUUGCCAGCGGGUAAUGCCGGGGACUCGUGAGAGACUGCCGGGGUCAACUCGGAGGAAGGUGGGGAUGACGUCAAGUCAUCAUGCCCCUUAUGUCCAGGGCUUCACACAUGCUACAAUGGCCGGUACAAAGGGCUGCGAUGCCGCGAGGUUAAGCGAAUCCUUUUAAAGCCGGUCUCAGUUCGGAUCGGGGUCUGCAACUCGACCCCGUGAAGUCGGAGUCGCUAGUAAUCGCAGAUCAGCAACGCUGCGGUGAAUACGUUCCCGGGCCUUGUACACACCGCCCGUCACGUCAUGAAAGUCGGUAACACCCGAAGCCAGUGGCCUAACCCUUUGGGAGGGAGCUGUCGAAGGUGGGAUCGGCGAUUGGGACGAAGUCGUAACAAGGUAGCCGUACCGGAAGGUGCGGCUGGAUCACCUCCUUU